AUUGAACGCUGGCGGCAGGCCUAACACAUGCAAGUCGAACGAGUGGCGGACGGGUGAGUAAUGUCUGGGAAACUGCCUGAUGGAGGGGGAUAACUACUGGGAACGGUAGCUAAUACCGCAUACCAUCGGAUGUGCCCAGAUGGGAUUAGCUUGUCGGUGGGGUAAAGGCUCACCUAGGCGACGAUCCCUAGCUGGUCUGAGAGGCUGACCAGCCAGACUGGAACUGAGACACGGUCCAGACGCCUACGGGAGGCAGCAGUGGGUAAUAUUGCACAAUGGGCGCAAGCCUGAUGCAGCCACGCCGCGUGUAUGAAGAGGGCCUUCGGGUUGUAAAGUACUUUCAGCGGGGAGGCGUUACCCGCAGAAGAAGCACCGGCUAACUCCGUGCCAGCAGCCGCGGUAAUAC
RNAcentral lists this ribosomal RNA (406 nucleotides) under uncultured bacterium. RNAcentral describes it as "partial 16S ribosomal RNA". It matches the Rfam family "Bacterial small subunit ribosomal RNA", at positions 30 to 526 of the family's 1533-position model. The record is from RNAcentral.